UCUUAUGUCUUUAAACCCACUUUUAAAUGAUCCUGCCAAUCCCCCUGCUUUCCUAUUUCAAACUUACCACAUUAGGCAUAGAAACACAUCCAUCCCAACAUGGUCAGUUUUCUCGGCUGUACUUGGAGCACAGCCUGCUUGUCCUCCAUGUACAAAAGACUUGCGCUGACACGUCCCCCCACAUACACACAGCUCUUCUCUGGGAAGAUCAGCGUAUUGGGCCUCAUGCACACAGGACAUAUGAAAAAACCUCUGUAAAUGACAAAAUUGCUGGCAGUGAAACAUUUUGUAUGCACAUUUAUACGUGUUUAUGUACAUUCACAUUUACAAGCUUUUUUCCCCCCAAACACUCCCUCCCAUCUGCUAUAUUUUCACUCCCAAAUGCCCACAAUGCAUUGCAAAACAUUUAAUUUUUCGUUUUGAGUGACAUUUUCAUUGAGAGCAGAGGGAUUACUGUAUUUAGCAGGGAGCUAUCUGUCUUUCCUGGCUGCCUUCAAUAUGGAUCCCAUCAGCAACAUGAUUGAUGAAGCAGUCCUACUGAUUCUGUGGAAGAGGGUGAGAAGAUGGAGAGAAUUGGAUGAGAAGAGCAGCAUUCUUUGCUAAUGGACACAAAUCCAUUGCGUUUAUCUUCAGCAUGCUUCCCGAACAUGUAUAUGGGGCUGUGGAAUUAUCCUGACAAGUUCUUAAAAAUGUACACAGAUGUCUGUUGGCACCUUUUAUGAGCUUCAGAAGAGGCUGUGACCCUGACUAACUCGCAUGGACACCCAGAUGAGGAUGAGCAUGUCUCCUGCUAUCAUUCAGGUGUCUGUCAACAGGACAAUAUUUUGUGUUCUUUAUGGGUGUGAUCACAGUGGCAAAAGUGACCUGAGAAACCUGCUUGCCACAUUGUGGGAGGAGUUGCGUGAUGUUGUAAUGCCUCAUCCUGAAGGUGUUGGGGUGAAAAUGCCACUCAAGUCAGGAUCAAGGUAUUUCAUUUACAAGAAAUACUUUUUCAUUGUCCUAUUGAGAUUGGUGGAUGCCCACCUCUGCGUAACAUUCAUUGAUGUGGGAGCCUACAGCAGUUGAGGUGGUGCAAGAAUCCCAUUCAUGUGGGAGCCUACGGUAGUCUAGGUGAUGUGAAAAUCUUUGGAAAGUCUGCAAUGUGGUGUUGGCUAUAUAUAGGAUGUCUCUAGAUUCCCCCAAGAAGGCUUCUUCCAUGCACAAUGGAGCCAAGUCAUUAUGGCAAAUGGGGCUUUUGGAAUACCUGAGAACCUAAUGCACCCCUACAGUGGGCAUGGACUUAGUCACAAGCAGAAGAUGUUUUAAUAUUGAUUGAGCUAUGCCUGUCCAGUUGUGAAGUGUGCAUUUGGCGUCUGUACUGUGAAGUGGUAUAUACUGCUUUCCUGCAUGCAGUUGGAUGCUGAAAAAGCAAUCAAAGUGGUACUGGCCUGCUGCGUGCUCCAUAAUUUCCCUAUUGAUAAGGAAUGAGGCUCCUGUAAACCUGAAUCCACAACCUGUGCUCAUGAUGUCCACUUUAUGGACUUAUGUUAGUAUAUAAGUGAGCAUUGGAAAUUAAUUAGCAGAUUUCUUUGUUUCUCCAGAGGGUAAAGUGUCCUGGCAGGAUCAAUAUGUGUAGCUGGAUGUCAUUUGAUAUCAGUUGACUUUGCAUUUUAACAGGUGUCCUUGUGCUCAAAAUAAAGAAAAUCUUUUUGACUUUGAAUAAAGGAUUUAAACUUC
Long non-coding RNA from Rana temporaria (common frog), 1716 nucleotides. RefSeq lists it as uncharacterized. Lineage: Eukaryota; Metazoa; Chordata; Amphibia; Anura; Ranidae. The transcript has 2 exons. The record is from RefSeq and is a predicted model, not a curated record.